UUUCAUCCGUUUAUAGGUUUUUAUUCAUAGUAUUGAUACAUGCUGUAUCAUAACAAUAAACAUGAAUAGAUAUUCAAGGGUGCUUUGUGAAGCAGUCAUAAUUCUUCAAUUCACUAUGGCAUUCCUAAACAACAUUGUUACAUUUAGCAACAAUACAAAGAUAGGCCUAUUGUAAGCCUUUUGGUAUGAAAUGUACCCGUGUAAAACAAACAGCACUGUAGUGUACUAUAACUAUUAAACAGCAAUGACCCUUUACACUGUGUAUAGAGAUAACAUCACUCCCCCAUUGCAGCUUUCAAUAUCAAUCAUGUUCCGAAUUGAAUUCUUGUCAGUUCUUCACCAAGUUCAUGUAACAUUACAUUGACUAAGAUAAACUAGGGGUUUCAGAACUCCUACUAUGUUCCUCUCACUGGUCUGGGUCUCUAUAGCAGGGUCUCUAUUUAGGGUCACUAUUUAGGGUCACUAUUUAGGGUCACUAACCCUUUAUACUGGUGAAGCUGGACAUAAAAGAGACACUUCUCCUAAUUGGAUCACUGGAAGACCACUGGAUCACCGGAAGACCACUGGAUCACUGGAAGACCACUGUAUCACCGGAAGACCACUGGAUCACCGAAAGAGUACUGGAUCACCGGAAGACUACUGGAUCACCAGAAGACUACUGGAUCACCGGAAGACCACUGGAUCACUGGACAACUACCAAUGGCAUGGUAAUCUGUUCUAUUGGAGAAUCCAGUGUAAAUCUAAGGUCUGGUUACAUCCACUGUUUCCUCUAAACCAGACUAGUGGGAUCCCAUGGUUAUGACACAGUAACCUACAGUACGUUCAUGUUUACAAUUACAGUAUACCACUAAGAAACAUUCAUUGUGUCGGUGAUACAUUCCUAUGCUGUCGUGUUAAAGUUAUUUCCCUUAUUACAAAGUGUGUACUGCAUGUUCUGAAUCUAAAGGAAAUAUAAAUAGUAUUUCAUGCUAGCUAUGUUAAGAGACCAUAUGGCCAUUAAUCUAAACAUCCCAAUUCUGACAAACAUGGAGGACAACUUGGAGGAAUCUCGGUGAAUUCACACAUACGGUGGCAUUCGUCCAGUGAGGUCCAUCCAGGGUGGCUGUCCUGGAUGCCUGAUACCAAACUGUGGUGCCGUGUGUGAAUCCAGCUGGAUUCCACCCAGACUAGUUCUCAAACCAAUCUGGCGUCACUUUCCAUGUCACUUAACCAUCUACUAAUCUCUUCAAGCUUCAAUAAUUCAGAUAUGUACAUUAUGUACAUAUUAUGUACACACACAUACAUUAUUAAAAAAGUGCAAAGUGUCAGAGUGUUUUGGUGAAAAGAAUGUAUGUAAAAAUAUCAAUCUUUUCACUGUGCAAAAUCAAAAAGGUUCAAUGGAAAAAAGUUGGGCGUGACCAAAUAAAAAAAGACAUUAGAAAAUACAAUUGGAAGCAUGUUGGUUGAGUACAUUUUGAAUCUUGGUCAAAGGAUUUUUCCUGUAUUUCUUUGCAUGCAAACAUAGCAGACAAAGAAAGUAAAGCAAGUACCAAAUGAAGGAAUCUUGUCUCCAGAAUCAAGAGCAUUGAUGAUAACAGACAAAAAAACAUUUUUAUAAUCCCUAUGACCAACUGGAUUCUCUGAGUUCCAAGAUGCUACCAUUUUGAUUUCGCUCUCCUUUCCUGCCACUCGUGACAUUAUUCAGGAAAACACUGGAUAAGCCUAAAACAGAGGUGCUAAUCUCUGUGUACAUGCCUUGCCAAACACAGACAAGAGAAUGGCAAUAAACAGGCGGACUGGGGAAUUUCGUCAGGUUUUGAAAAAUAUUUGACAUAUUUAAUAUUUCUCCAUUGCGAUGUCUUUAUUUCUUGGGUUUUGGUCUUCUUGGGUUAGCGUGAGGUAACACCAUUUGGUGUCUUAAACUGAUUUUAAUGGAUCGCUCCCUUUAAGGCACAGAAUUACAAAAAGAAAAUGGGUGGUUAAAGUUGAGGAUGUUACCAGCUCAAGAACAGAGCUCAAUAAGAAUGGAUUGAUGUAUGUUGGGUGAAUAACACUUUAACUGGUUUGAAAGGGAGAGGUAGUUUAAAAGAAUAUUGAUUUUUUUAAAUGGAGGGAUAAUCUUAUAUGGUCAUAACUGCGCGUGUGGAACCUUAAAGUAUCGAUCUUCAAUGUUAAACUUUUCAGAAUAAGAAUCUGAACUUGGUUCGUCCCAAACUUCAACCACAAUGGGGGAAAUCAAAGGUGCAAGGGUAACAAACAAAAACUCAACUAAAACAAAACCGUUUUAGGAAACAGAGACUAAUUAUUCUUGUAGUGUAAGUGGAAUCCAGGGGUAUUGGAUAUGCUCCAGUGAUCAAUCUUAUCCAUGUUGUCGUCUUCAGGGUGGAAGGUCAGAGGUGUUGUGUCUUGCCUCAUCUCAGCAGGUUAGCGGAGGGCUUGCAGUGCAGGGUGAGCUGUCGUGAGCUGUACCCAGACAUCCCAACUCCCAUCAGCCCUAGCAGCAUGGCCACCCUCGACAUCAUGGGGCCUUCCCGGCUCUGCAGCACGGUCUGGGCAGCUUGAGUCUGAAAGAUCAAGAGAGAGGGGUCGUCACCAUGGCGACAGCAGAGAAACCUUCCAUCUGGCCUGUGCUGUUCUGGAGUCCUUAAACAUGUGACAGUGGUCAAGCAUAUUUUUCAUCCCCGUGAUGGUCUUACCAUGGGGAAGAUCCGGGCUACUGGGGGGAGGAACAUAACUACAAAUCAUUUGUAAACUGCAAAUUGACUGCAAGAAGCCCAAACAGAUAUAAUAUUUGAUUAAAACUUAAUAAUUUCAAACCUUGAUUACAUUUAUAUACGAUCAGAUAUAUCUCUCUAUUAUGGGUGGGAAUACUUUGGAACAGAUUUCAAAAUUAAAAUCACUUGGAGCUGAUUUGCUGGUGUUUUUACAGUUUUAUGUUCAACAAUAAAUAAUAAAAAAUGGUUCAAAAAAAUAUUUGCUCCGAAAACUUGGGGGGGCCAAAUAAAAUCAGAUAUAAAUUGAGUUAUUAUUUUAUCUUAGCUCUAUGUUGUUAGAUUAUAGAAAAGAGCCUUAAAGUCAAAUAUAUAUAUUUAUUUUACGAGUAAUUGCACAUUUAUGACACCACUCAGCUUCUGUGACUGAGAAUGUUUAUUUUAAUCUAACCUGUGAGUUAUCUAACUUAGCUAACUGGUGAGCUCCAAACAGUUAAUCAGGCUUGACACUUCUCAACCUGAAAAACGAAAUAGGCUUCUAAAUCUAGCUGCAUGGUCCUAAAAUACCCUUGGGGCGAUUGAGAGCAUGGAUCUCAGGUCAUUUGACUGUAGAUCUUACUAAGAGGACAUUAACUUGACCCUGAAGCAGCUUGUGUCGUCAAUGCAGAUCCAUUCAAAGGCUGCAGGGGGGACUAAUCCUGCUUAUCCUGCUCACCCGGAAACACACUGGACACCCGCUGGGCUCUGGACGGUGACACUGUCAAGACCCUUAACUAGUCUAUACAAUACAAUACAGGAUAUGGCCAGAUAGAUGUACAGGUAACUGACAAAAUAAAGGAAACAUCAACAUAAAGUGUCUCGGGCAUUGGGCCAACACGAGCCGCAGAACAACUUCAAUGCGCCUUGGCAUAGAUUCUACAAGUGUCUGGAACUCUAAUGGAGGCAUGCAAAACUCUUCUUCCACUUGAAAUUCCAUCAUUUGGUGUUUUGUUGAUGUUGGUGGAAAAUGUUUUUUCUGAUGCUGCUCCAGAAUCUCUCAUAAGUGGUCAAUUGGGUUGGGAUCUGGUGACUGAGACACACACACACACACACACACACACACACACACACACACACACACACACACACACACACACACACACACACACACACACACACACACACACACACACACACACACAGCCAAAACACCCUACGCUUCUUUAAGACCCCUCUUUCAAAGUCACUUCUAGCCAUGAUAGCUAAAAUAAUGGACAACAGGGCAUUUGUAUACAUGACCCUAAGCAUGAUGGGAUGUUAAUUGCUUAAUUAACUCAGGAACCACACCUGUGUGGAAGCACCUGCUUUCAAUAUACUUUGUAUCCCUCAUUUACUCAAGUGUCUCCUUUAUUUUUGCAGUUACCUGUACAUCGUAAAAUAAGGUAAACAUGCACUCAAUAUCAAACAGUUUUGCUUCCAUUCCAUAUUGUUGAGUCACACAAUAUAGCAAAACAGUGUCAAUUAAUAGGUGAUCAAAUUAUUUUGUUAUUAAUGUGUGAGAGUUCUAUUUGAUUGACAGGCUCUUCUAGACUGUGCUCUAAAGGCAUAUUUAUCUAAGCAUCUAUUACCACACUCAUGCUGCUUACGCACCUGCAAGUAUCUGAUGUAUCCAGGGGUCAGUCGAGGGAUGCGGAAAAACAUCUUAGUGGUCUCUAGAACCUUUUCCCAGUAGAAACCAGAUCAACUCUCCAACAACCCUGAGGAGUUUCUUUUUUAGCAACCUGGCUCUAUGUCCCUUCUCUCUCCUUCUCUCACUCUGGCCUUGGUGUCCUCCACUGGGCUGAGUGCGGCGGUGGAAGCUCUCUCCUGUGUCCGAAGAACACACACGCCUGCUCAAAAACACCAACACACCUGCACUGUCAAGGGCUGUUUUGAUCUCUCCUGAGAGACUCAUCCCUACAGGUGAUAUAUAAAGC
Oncorhynchus tshawytscha (Chinook salmon) is the source of this 4645-nucleotide long non-coding RNA. The record is from Ensembl. Lineage: Eukaryota; Metazoa; Chordata; Actinopteri; Salmoniformes; Salmonidae.